This 29-nucleotide small RNA is filed under the name Bombyx mori (domestic silkworm). RNAcentral describes it as "ovarian small RNA-36362". The record is from RNAcentral. Lineage: Eukaryota; Metazoa; Arthropoda; Insecta; Lepidoptera; Bombycidae.
UUAAGCCAACAAUUAACACCAGUGUUACA